GACGGGGGAUGCAAGCGUUAUCCGGAAUCACUGGGCGUAAAGCGUCUGUAGGUGGUGAUGCAAGUCACUGGUGCAAAACUCUGGCUCAACCGGAGGAAAGCCAGUGAAACUGCAUGACUAGAGUGUGGGAGAGGUAGAAGGAAUUCGCUGAGUAGCGGUGAAAUGCGUAGAUACAGGGAAGAACACCGGAGGCGAAAGCGUUCUGCUGGAACACAACUGACACUGAGAGACGAAAGCUCGGGGUGCGAAUGGG
Molecule: ribosomal RNA, 253 nt
Filed under: uncultured bacterium
Lineage: Bacteria
Description: partial 16S ribosomal RNA
Rfam family: Bacterial small subunit ribosomal RNA
Source: RNAcentral